This 346-nucleotide ribosomal RNA is filed under the name uncultured bacterium. Its description in RNAcentral is "partial 16S ribosomal RNA". It matches the Rfam family "Bacterial small subunit ribosomal RNA", at positions 338 to 681 of the family's 1533-position model. The record is from RNAcentral.
CCUACGGGUGGUAGCAGUGAGGAAUAUUGGUCAAUGGCCGGAAGGCUGAACCAGCCAUGCCGCGUGAAGGUCAGUGCCCUAUGGGCGUUAAACUUCUUUUGUGCGGGAGCAAUAAUGGUCACGUGUGGCCAGACGAGAGUACCGUACGAAUAAGCAUCGGCUAACUCCGUGCCAGCAGCCGCGGUAAUACGGGGGAUGCAAGCGUUAUCCGGAUUUAUGGGGUUUCAAGGGUGCGUAGGCGGGGAGGUAAGUCAGCGGGGAAAUGCCCCCGCUCAACGGGGUGAAGGGCCAUUGAUACUGCCUUGCUGGACUGCGGCUGCCGUGGGCGGUAUGUGUGGUGUAGCGG